This is a regulatory RNA element of Rheinheimera nanhaiensis E407-8, 35 nucleotides long. It matches the Rfam family "DUF805b RNA". From Rfam's summary of the family: Bacteroidetes, Chlorobi (1 example), Proteobacteria. The record is from Rfam. Lineage: Bacteria; Pseudomonadati; Pseudomonadota; Gammaproteobacteria; Chromatiales; Chromatiaceae.
UCGGCGGCAACCGAAAAGCCUUAACAGAGUAGGUA